UCAGCCUCCAUCCUCACAAUGAGAAAACACUGAACUGGCACUCCCGAAGCUGGCUCGCUUCCCCAGGUCUGCUGCUAAAUUAGCAAGAUCCAAAAAAUCCUCACAGAACCUUAGUUUCUGCAUCUAUAGAAUAAGUGUCUCCUCCUGCCAAACGAAGACCUCCACCCCCAUCUUAAAGUGCAACGUACAGACAACUCAAUGAAUCAUAGAAAGAGGACUGGAAAACAUAUCAGAGCUCCUACCCUUCAUUUAUUUUCAGCAUGCAGAGUGGACCUCAAAGUUCCCUGAACCAGAGCCUCACUUACAAUAGCCUGUUAAGAAGGUGGAUUCACUAAAUACAACCCCCAGAAGAGUUAACCCAGCAGGCCUAUGGGGCAUGGUUAACAAUCUCCUCUGAAAUCUGAGGGAGCCAGUUUUACAUAAUGUGCAAAUUAAAAAUACAAAUAAUAGCUUGGAUCAAUGUAUCAUCUUUCUUUAUUAUUUAAUCCAAACUUUC
Long non-coding RNA from Suricata suricatta (meerkat), 496 nucleotides. RefSeq lists it as uncharacterized. The transcript has 3 exons. The record is from RefSeq and is a predicted model, not a curated record. Lineage: Eukaryota; Metazoa; Chordata; Mammalia; Carnivora; Herpestidae.